GUAGCAAUACUUUUGGUGGCGACCGGCGCACGGGUGAGUAACGCGUAUGCAACCCACUUAUCAGAGGGGAAUAACCCGGCGAAAGUCGGACUAAUACCGCAUAAAACAGGGGCACCGCAUGGUGAUAUUUGUUAAAGAAAUUCGCUGAUAGAUGGGCAUGCGUUCCAUUAGGUAGUUGGUGAGGUAACGGCUCACCAAGCCGACGAUGGAUAGGGGAACUGAGAGGUUGGUCCCCCACACUGGUACUGAGACACGGACCAGACUCCUACGGGAGGCAGCAGUGAGGAAUAUUGGUCAAUGGGCGAGAGCCUGAACCAGCCAAGUCGCGUGAAGGAAGAAGGAUCUAUGGUUCGUAAACUUCUUUUGCAGGGGAAUAAAGUGCAGGACGUGUCCUGUUUUGUAUGUACCCUGAGAAUAAGGAUCGGCUAACUCCGUGCCAGCAGCCGCGGUAAUACGGAGGAUCCGAGCGUUAUCCGGAUUUAUUGGGUUUAAAGGGUGCGUAGGUGGUUUGAUAAGUCAGCGGUGAAAGUUUGCAGCUUAACUGUAAAAAUGCCGUUGAAACUGUCGGACUUGAGUGUAAAUGAGGUAGGCGGAAUGCGUGGUGUAGCGGUGAAAUGCUUAGAUAUCACGAAGAACUCCGAUUG
Molecule: ribosomal RNA, 644 nt
Filed under: uncultured Bacteroidales bacterium
Lineage: Bacteria; Pseudomonadati; Bacteroidota; Bacteroidia; Bacteroidales
Description: bacterial SSU rRNA
Rfam family: Bacterial small subunit ribosomal RNA
Source: RNAcentral